Molecule: small nuclear RNA, 112 nt
Organism: Alligator mississippiensis (American alligator)
Lineage: Eukaryota; Metazoa; Chordata; Crocodylia; Alligatoridae
Source: Rfam
GUGUUGUACGAAAGGAAAGAAGGUUAGCACUCCCCUUGGUAAGGAUGGAAGAGGUCCAUGCAUAUGGUUAAGGCACUGCCACCUACUUCAUGGCAUUUAAGCAAGUUUCCUG